UACGGAGGGAGCUAGCGUUGUUCGGAAAUACUGGGCGUAAAGCGCACGUAGGCGGUCUAUUAAGUCAGGGGUGAAAUCCCAGAGCUCAACUCUGGAACUGCCCUUGAAACUGCUAGACUGGAAUCUUGGAGAGGUGAGUGGAAUUCCGAGUGUAGAGGUGAAAUUCGUAGAUAUUCGGAAGAACACCAGUGGCGAAGGCGACUCACUGGACAAGUAUUGACGCUGAGGUGCGAAAGCGUGGGGAGCAAACAGG
This 253-nucleotide ribosomal RNA is filed under the name uncultured bacterium. RNAcentral's name for it is "partial 16S ribosomal RNA". It matches the Rfam family "Bacterial small subunit ribosomal RNA", at positions 524 to 776 of the family's 1533-position model. The record is from RNAcentral.